Non-coding RNA from Cicer arietinum (chickpea), 94 nucleotides. Lineage: Eukaryota; Viridiplantae; Streptophyta; Magnoliopsida; Fabales; Fabaceae. The record is from Rfam.
GAUGGACAUAUGAUGAAUUUGAAUUGUGUAAAUGGGUAAUUUGCAUCUGAGUUUUAUUGAUGUUAUAUAUCACCUUGGAGAACUGAUGUCCACA